RNAcentral lists this ribosomal RNA (253 nucleotides) under uncultured bacterium. RNAcentral's name for it is "partial 16S ribosomal RNA". It matches the Rfam family "Bacterial small subunit ribosomal RNA", at positions 524 to 776 of the family's 1533-position model. The record is from RNAcentral.
UACAGAGGUGGCAAGCGUUGUUCGGAAUUACUGGGCGUAAAGGGCGCGUAGGCGGUCGAUUAAGUCCCGUGUGAAAUCCCUCGGCUCAACUGAGGAACUGCACGGGAAACUGGCUGACUUGAGUUCGGGAGAGGGAAGCGGAAUUCCGGGUGUAGCGGUGAAAUGCGUAGAUAUCCGGAGGAACACCGGUGGCGAAGGCGGCUUCCUGGACCGAUACUGACGCUGAGGCGCGAAAGCGUGGGGAGCGAACAGG